Long non-coding RNA from Chinchilla lanigera (long-tailed chinchilla), 1521 nucleotides. RefSeq lists it as uncharacterized. The record is from RefSeq and is a predicted model, not a curated record. The transcript is spliced from 4 exons. NCBI's taxonomy places the organism in Eukaryota, Metazoa, Chordata, Mammalia, Rodentia, Chinchillidae.
UUGGCAGGAACAUGAACAAGGAGAGAUCAGUCCAACAUGCUGAUGGCGGCAAGGCGUGAGGCCGUGGAAAGCUGAGAGGAUACGAGAGGAGCAGUGGCUUUGCAGAAGAAGAGAGGAUAGAAGACAACAGCAGAGGAGCUUACCUCUGACCAGCAAAGACCAAUGUACCCAAAGCCAGGGAAGCAAGUCAUAAAGGAGAAGAAGCAGUUGUGAAAUCACAUAAAAACGUGAUGUUUGCUUUAUGUGCUUCCUUACAAUCAGACCUGCACUUGGCCUGACAAAGCAGACCAUACUCCAGAUAUCACUGGGCUUCCCUGAGGAUAAGGCUGCUGGGAGCUCUCCAACCCCUCAAGUAAUAAGAAAAAUAGCCCAGCUACUGAGCAGUUACUCUGUGCUGUGUAGAAUCUACAUGCCUUACCAGUUCUCACUAUCGCAUUUAAUACUUACAGCAGCUCUGGGAGAUGAGCUAUUAUUUUCCCACUUUUAUCAAUGAGGAGCGUGAGAUACAGAAGUAUUGGGGCAUUUCAUCCUUCCUCAAUUUCCUUUACCCUUAAGGCCUUGCAUUGACCUUGAGCCCCCUCAGCCUCAAUUUUUAGGGCCGGUGUUUAAAUUCUUACUGCAAAAAGCGACAAGCAACUAAUGGCUAUGACCAUCAGUUUUGUUCUUGUCAACACUGAGAGUCUGAUGUCGGAGCCAGCAGCUGGUGACAGGGGCAUCGGCAGGAAGGGGUGGAUCCUUUUGUGGACUGCCCAACAGAGGCCUCCGGUCUGGCUCCUGAGAUUUCUGAGAUGCACUGAAAGAAGAGAACAUUUAGAAGAGCCUGGCCUUAGGGAGCCUCUUUAAAGAGAAACACCCCUGAGGCACUUCCAGAUACCAGCCAGAGAAUGCAUUUCCUCCCACAAGCACACAACUUGGAGGGUACAUCUGAUUCUGUGAGAAAAAAAACUUCACCUCUACCUCCACAAAACAAAGUGGGAGCAAUGAUAAUGUUCUCCUCGAGGAGACUCCUAACCAUUGAAGAUGCAGUCUUCUUUGAGUGCUUCAAUUAUCAAAGAUGUCAGCUCUUAUAAAGGCUUCAGCCUUUUGCUCCUUCUGGGUGGAGAUUUCCACAUGGGAACCAUUUUGCUUGACUUUUGGGCCCUGGGAGCUGUUAGGGUUGCCUCUCCCUUCCUAGUCUAUCCUGGAAGGACAGGGAGUUCUACCCAGGCAGGCGGAUCAGCGAAUCACAAAAACACAAGCACGGCCAAGCCCCGCCCAGCAGGAGGGAGUCCUACAAUCACUUCCCCAGCUUUGCUCUGCCGGCUAGAGUUCUCAGAUGGACGGGGGUCGGGCGCAGUGGACUCCAAGAUGUCGCCAAGCCAAUCUUGAGGGAUGCAGAAAGCUGACUUGGCACUCAGCGGAGCAUCUCUUGCGGGAACCUUACUAGCAGCUUCUGAGAAGCCUGCAGACACUUUCCCUCCCUCUCCUUUGAAAAGUAACAGUGAUCCGGAAAUCAGAGGUAUCCUUCCCGGGGAUCAGGAC